CCUCUUCAGUGAGAUUUUACACUGAGUACGUGUCGUUCGAAACAUGUUCGAAACAGCUUCGAAAUUAUCGUUUUCCCUUUUAGAAUUACUCAAAAUUUUCUUCAGAUUUCCAUUAAAGAAUUUUCCUUUAUAAUUAUCAAAGGAAAACCGGUAUACCGAUAAUAUCGGUAUAAUUUUUUCGGUAUACCGAUACCGAAAAUUUCUCAUACCGAACAUUCCUAGCCAUUUCUAGUGCGAUUUUCUUCCUCUGAUGUAUGUGAACGAGUAAAUAAGUUAUGAAUAUUCUGAGUAUAUGCCUCAUUGAUCUACCCUCAUCUGAACAUUCAUAACUCAUCCACUCGUUCACAUCCAUCGGAAGAAGAAAAUCGCACUUAAAAUCGCAGCAGAAAUUGCAAGUGUAAACAGGCCUUAUGAGUGAAAGUGAAGCCAAGAUGGCGGCCAUUGACGUCCAAUAGCUGUGAAGGUCGUAAACAACUUUUAUACCAUUUUCCCCAGCUAAUUCCAGUUUAUUUCUAACGGAUCGUAUCGCUAAUCAAGUUUUCAGUUCGUAAAACCAUCGUGUUAUUCUUUAAAUCGAUGUCAAAAUACGAAAUUUCGGCACACUCCUUGCCAAGAUGGUGGACAUUGAAGAAGCUAUUGGACCCAAGUUCCAGUCCCUUUCUAUUGUUUUUGUCUGUGCGGUUAAUACGAAGCUGGCUUCACUUUUUGGACUCGAGUUCUCUCUCAAUUAUGGUUUGCCAGUCCAACACUCAACGAACCUAGCUACAUGGUCAAGUUGGUGAGAGUGGUUGAUAUCUCGGAAAUGAGUGCAUGUAGUCCCAUCGAUAUGAUUCUUACUGCCACUACUACAGUACAUACUUGCUCGAACCGAAUUGACCUCGUAGCUCAGUAAGUAGAGUACCCCCGCUCUACAUAUUAUUGUAUUUAUGGUGAAAAUAGACAGCUCAACUUUGCACGAGUUAUUUAUCUCGGUUUCGCGAUGUGGAAAUAAGUUAAUAUCUUGAAAGUACUUUUGAAUACAUUCUUUAGAAUUGUCAUGAAUCAAAUUUUGAAGUUUUUCAUUUUAAAGGUAAAUCACCUUAAAACCAAAAUAUCCGCCGUUUUGAAACGUCAUUCUUGCCAUAGCAACGACAGUUGCGUAACUUUUGUAAAAACUCUUAAGGUGGCUCGAUACAGUUUUCAAAUAUUCAGGUGUUCAACACUUUGACAUGUUCAAACUACGCAUUUUUAGGAUUUAUUCAGCAGAUAUUGGGUUUUUUAUACAUUUGAUAACUCUACUUUCAAAUUAUAUUAGUUUUAUUCUAAAAUCUUGUAUGACGGAACUUUCUCUAAGCCGCAUUUUAG
Molecule: non-coding RNA, 1344 nt
Organism: Paramuricea clavata
Lineage: Eukaryota; Metazoa; Cnidaria; Anthozoa; Malacalcyonacea; Plexauridae
Source: the annotation of a GenBank genome assembly